This 71-nucleotide transfer RNA is filed under the name Caerostris extrusa. RNAcentral describes it as "tRNA-Gly". It matches the Rfam family "tRNA". From Rfam's summary of the family: Transfer RNA (tRNA) molecules are approximately 80 nucleotides in length. Their secondary structure includes four short double-helical elements and three loops (D, anti-codon, and T loops). Further hydrogen bonds mediate the characteristic L-shaped molecular structure. tRNAs have two regions of fundamental functional importance: the anti-codon, which is responsible for specific mRNA codon recognition, and the 3' end, to which the tRNAs corresponding amino acid is attached (by aminoacyl-tRNA synthetases). tRNAs cope with the degeneracy of the genetic code in two manners: having more than one tRNA (with a specific anti-codon) for a particular amino acid; and 'wobble' base-pairing, i.e. permitting non-standard base-pairing at the 3rd anti-codon position. Lineage: Eukaryota; Metazoa; Arthropoda; Arachnida; Araneae; Araneidae. The record is from RNAcentral.
AUGUUGGUGGUAUAGCGGUUAGUAUAGCUGCCUUCCAAGCAGUUGACCCGGGUUCGAUAACGGCCGACGCA